UUUUGUUUAAAUCCCUGCUGCUCCGUCGGUGAUCUAAUCAGGACAGCAGCCAGGCCUGCUCUGCCCACGGCUCCCGCAGCGCCCGUCUCGCCGGGAGCUGCAGCAUAAUGCACCUCCAGAAUGGAUGGCUGAAUCAAAAACAAAGCAGCAUCACAAAAUUGUCAACACUGUAGCAAGGGAGCUGAUGUGGAACUGAGAAUAAAAUAAAAUGAAAGAAAACCUCCAACCCCCCCAGAAAAACUAAAACAGUCAAAGAAAGAAAAAAGUCAGCUUAAAGAGAAUUCAUAGACCAGAAGAAAUACCUCAUGACAAACUGCCUGAGGAAGAAGUGGAGAUACUUAAAGAAAUGCUGAUGUUUUCAGAGACAGAAGUAGGAAGAAGAAAAGGUUGAAAGUUGUGAAUCUGAAUCCCUGAAGGGAACAUUAAGGUAAAAAAGUCUAUUCAAGCACAUUAAGGCAGAGCUUAUUUGUACAUUCUGCAGCUGAAGCAAAUAUUCAGUAAGAUUACUACUAUUUAAAAUGUUAUAAAGACAAUCUCAUAUAGACUUGUCAAGUAAGACAAGAAAAGACAAGACGGAGAAAACGAGGAUUUUACUGUUCAAGGUUUCAAGCUAAUGUACUAAUCACCAACUCCCCCUUCGAUUCCUUCCUCUUCCGUAGAGCAACUGGCUAAGUGAUAGGAUGAGAGUCACUCUGGAGCUUUUACAGCAAAAGGCAUGGCAAACCUGUGGAGCUGUCUGUGAAGGUGACAGGUGAAGCACCAUCCUAGCACUACCUCCUGGCCCUGGUGCAGCUAACUUCUGAGAGCAAAGCAGGAACAAGUCUGCUGGUCAGCAACACUAUCUCAUUUGGACAUUAUUUCUAGUGACAAAUAUAGAUUUUGAGCACAGAUUCAUCAGAAAAAGUCUAUGGGCAGAAAAAGCAUGAAAAAUCUUUUUGGUCCAUUAGCCCUACAAUUUAGAAGUAGGGUGGAAGUGAAAGGAGCACUCAUUGCUUCCACUGGUCAAUAUCAUAUUCCAUGGUGGAUAUCUACAAUCCAUGAUCAAAUCCGCCCUUAACCUUCUCUGCACAAAGCAGAAGCUACUGAAGUCUUUUAGUAAAGUGUUUCUACACACUUUGCCUUCAAGCAAGUGCCUGUUCAAGCAGUACUGUAUACUUCUCAUCAAAGAAACAAGUUUAUUUUCAAAGUAUUGACACACUGUAUUUUGAGACCUUUGAAAAUCCUUGCUGUACUGAAGGCUGCUCAGCACAAACACAGAACCCUUGAAAAUCCAGCUGUAAUUUUAGCUAAGAAAUACUGCUGGCAAAGAGCAAAAAAUUUAGAAAUUUGGAAAGAACUGAAAAGAGUUGCAUAAGCAGUGCAGGUGAAGAGGCCUCUGAGAUCUAGUUUGGAAAGACAUCAAAAGGAUGUCUAUAUAUGUGUGUGUGUAUGCCUGGAAAGUGUUGUAUGAUGUUCCAGCCCUCAGAACAUCUUUCCUACAAAAAAGUUACAUCCUGCUUGAAAGCUUCCUUGGAAUUGCUGAGAUUCAUUGUAUUAUAAAAAUGCACAGUUUUGUUAGGAUGCAAGGAUUUCUGGCUGCACAUUAUUUUUGCUGUAAAGUGCACUGAGAUGAUAAGCUUCCAGCAACUCCGUCCAACUCAAUUAUCUGCAUCCUUCCAGGUGGAGACGUCAGGACUUUAUGCCAUUUUUGUAAUUUCACUAUUUUACAGCUCAAACUUCUACAUGGAGCCAGAGCAAUCUAAAAUUUUAAAUGUCUAUUAAAUUUCCCACCCCUCUGGCAACCAAUAUGGCAGCUGCUCUACGACAUCAAGAAAAAAUUGCCCUCUUGGAGAUGAACUUUUGGAAAAUGGACUACUCCUUUUAUACCAUAACUUGCUUUAAACAUGAGGCAGAAUGACCUAAAUUUUGAUCUGUGCACAUUUGGCUCAAGUCAUGCAGCCCCAUAUCAUUUUCACCUUUACUUAAAGACUACACAAAUGAAGAUAGAACUUCUUCCUCUGAAAAACACCUUUGUGCUUGAGUUGUAUUUCCCUCAAGGCAACCUCCAGGAAGCAAAAAUAAUCCAAGGAGCAAACUUUCCAAAUCAAAAUCAAAUAAAUGGAGAAUGAGACAGCAUCUUUUAUGGAGACAACCUCCUUCAAGCCUUUCCUCUGAUGUUGAUGCUACCAGAGCUCUAUACUUUGAGAUAUGUUGACGGAAGCUGUCAUAUGGAAAAGAGGAAUCAAUACCAAAAUAAACCCUAAUGGCUCAAAUUUCA
Non-coding RNA from Cyanistes caeruleus (blue tit), 2257 nucleotides. Lineage: Eukaryota; Metazoa; Chordata; Aves; Passeriformes; Paridae. The record is from RefSeq and is a predicted model, not a curated record.